Long non-coding RNA from Caretta caretta (loggerhead turtle), 582 nucleotides. RefSeq lists it as uncharacterized. Lineage: Eukaryota; Metazoa; Chordata; Testudines; Cheloniidae. The record is from RefSeq and is a predicted model, not a curated record.
UUUUGGAACCUGACAACCCUGACGUUUUGUCCAGCCUUGUCAUCUGCUAUCCUGUCUAUCAAAACAAUCAGAUUGCUGUUUCCAUAUGGAGCUCAAACAUAUGCUGGAUGUUUGGCUGUAUAAUUUCUUUCUGACCUAAUGGCACUUGCUUUUACUCAGUAUUUAAGCUGAACAAGACAGAGAUGCAGAGUGCUGCCCUGGAGAAGGCCAGGCGGCUGAAUUGCUGGCAGAAACCUGCCCCUGAAACACAAAUCAAAUCCUUCGUUAAGAUCACCCAGAUUAUGGAAAACCAAAGCGGUUAGCAUCCUCAUAAUUUUCUCCACUGCGCCAGCUCAAGGCAGUCAACUCUUGGAUGCUGGCCUUGUUGUUCUCGAGCACCUUUUGUUGGCUGAUUCACUAAGCUUCGUUGAUGGCAGGGAAUGGCUUCCUCAAGUUAAGAUGUCAAAGCCAGGGGCAGCCUGACGUGAAGAGUUUGUAGAAACACUUCCAUCCCCAGGAAUUUUCGUUGGAAUCUUUAGAUUUCUGCUGCAGCCAAAAAGAUUCCAUCAAGUGUCCAAGCUGCUGCUGCUACUCCACAAAAGG